Molecule: ribosomal RNA, 476 nt
Filed under: uncultured bacterium
Lineage: Bacteria
Description: partial 16S ribosomal RNA
Rfam family: Bacterial small subunit ribosomal RNA
Source: RNAcentral
AACGAACGCUGGCGGCAGGCUUAACACAUGCAAGUCGAACGCCUAUAGCAAUAUAGGAGUGGCGCACGGGUGAGUAAUACUUGGGAACGUGCCUUAGAGUCUGGGAUAACUGCGGGAAACUGCAGCUAAUACCGGAUAUUCCCUCCGGGGGAAAGAUUUAUCGCUCUAAGAUCGGCCCAAGCCAGAUUAGCUAGUUGGUGAGGUAAUGGCUCACCAAGGCAACGAUCUGUAGCUGUUCUGAGAGGAAGACCAGCCACACUGGAACUGAGACACGGUACAGACUCCUACGGGAGGCAGCAGUGGGGAAUAUUGGACAAUGGGCGAAAGCCUGAUCCAGCCAGGCCGCGUGUGUGAAGAAGGUCUUCGGAUUGUAAAGCACUUUAAGUUGGGAGGAAGGUCUGUAAGCUAAUAUCUUGCAGUCUUGACGUUACCAACAGAAUAAGCACCGGCUAACUUCGUGCCAGCAGCCGCGGUAA